This 407-nucleotide ribosomal RNA is filed under the name Verrucomicrobiota bacterium. Its description in RNAcentral is "Verrucomicrobia bacterium partial 16S ribosomal RNA". It matches the Rfam family "Bacterial small subunit ribosomal RNA", at positions 355 to 776 of the family's 1533-position model. Lineage: Bacteria; Pseudomonadati; Verrucomicrobiota. The record is from RNAcentral.
UGGGGAAUAUUGGACAAUGGAGGGAACUCUGAUCCAGCAAUUCUGUGUGUGUGAAGAAGGUUUUAGGACUGUAAAACACUUUUAGUAGGGAAGAAAAAAAUGACGGUACCUACAGAAGAAGCAACGGCUAAAUACGUGCCAGCAGCCGCGGUAAUACGUAUGUUGCGAGCGUUAUCCGGAAUUAUUGGGCGUAAAGCGCGCGCAGGUGGUUUAGAAAGUCUGAUGUGAAAGCCCACGGCUCAACCGUGGAGGGUCAUUGGAAACUAAUAAACUUGAGUGCAGGAGAGAAAAGUGGAAUUCCUAGUGUAGCGAUGAAAUGCGUAGAUAUUGGGAGGAACACCAGUAGCGAAGGCGGCUUUCUGGACUGCAACUGACACUGAGGCACGAAAGCGUGGGUAGCAAACAGG